UGAGCUUUAAGUUAUAAAAACUGUGAGCCUUCCAAGCUAUAAAAAAGACAUUCUUAAGCUCAA
RNAcentral lists this transfer RNA (63 nucleotides) under Hyalella franciscae. Its description in RNAcentral is "tRNA-Gly". The record is from RNAcentral. Lineage: Eukaryota; Metazoa; Arthropoda; Malacostraca; Amphipoda; Hyalellidae.